This 253-nucleotide ribosomal RNA is filed under the name uncultured bacterium. RNAcentral describes it as "partial 16S ribosomal RNA". It matches the Rfam family "Bacterial small subunit ribosomal RNA", at positions 524 to 776 of the family's 1533-position model. The record is from RNAcentral.
UACGGAGGGUGCAAGCGUUAUUCGGAUUUACUGGGCGUAAAGAGUGUUAAGGUGGUUCUAUAAGUUUGGUGUGAAAGCCCGGGGCUUAACCCCGGAAGUGCAUUGAAUACUGUAGAACUUGAGUGCAGGAGAGGAGGGCGGAAUUCCUGGUGUAGAGGUGAAAUUCGUAGAUAUCAGGAGGAACAACAGAGGCGAAGGCGGCUCUCUAGACUGCAACUGACACUGACACACGAAAGCGUGGGGAGCAAACAGG